CUGAAUUUGCCACCUAUUUGAACUAUUGCCGUUCUCUUCGGUUUGAGGAAAAACCUGACUAUUCAUAUUUGAGGCAGCUACUGAGAAAUUUGUUCCAUAGACAAGGGUUUACUUAUGACUAUGUCUUUGAUUGGAAUAUGCUAAAAUUUGGAGGAAACAGAAACCAACAGGAGCAGCAGCAGGAAGACCGAAAAGACCGGCAUCACCAACACCUUAGUAAUGCUCCUCGAGCAGUUCUUCCACCACCUACAACAGCCAACAGUAACAGACAGCGUGGAAUUCAAGACACCAUAAGUCCUGCCACGGGGCUGUAGAAAUUCAUCAGAAAG
Long non-coding RNA from Limulus polyphemus (Atlantic horseshoe crab), 329 nucleotides. RefSeq lists it as uncharacterized. The transcript has 3 exons. The record is from RefSeq and is a predicted model, not a curated record. Lineage: Eukaryota; Metazoa; Arthropoda; Merostomata; Xiphosura; Limulidae.